AUUGAACGCUGGCGGCAGGCUUAACACAUGCAAGUCGAGCGGGGGAAGGUAGCUUGCUACUGGACCUAGCGGCGGACGGGUGAGUAAUGCUUAGGAAUCUGCCUAUUAGUGGGGGACAACAUCUCGAAAGGGAUGCUAAUACCGCAUACGUCCUACGGGAGAAAGCAGGGGAUCUUCGGACCUUGCGCUAAUAGAUGAGCCUAAGUCGGAUUAGCUAGUUGGCGGGGUAAAGGCCUACCAAGGCGACGAUCUGUAGCGGGUCUGAGAGGAUGAUCCGCCACACUGGGACUGAGACACGGCCCAGACUCCUACGGGAGGCAGCAGUGGGGAAUAUUGGACAAUGGGGGGAACCCUGAUCCAGCCAUGCCGCGUGUGUGAAGAAGGCCUUAUGGUUGUAAAGCACUUUAAGCGAGGAGGAGGCUACUUUAGUUAAUACCUAGAGAUAGUGGACGUUACUCGCAGAAUAAGCACCGGCUAACUCUGUGCCAGCAGCCGCGGUAA
RNAcentral lists this ribosomal RNA (501 nucleotides) under uncultured bacterium. RNAcentral describes it as "partial 16S ribosomal RNA". It matches the Rfam family "Bacterial small subunit ribosomal RNA", at positions 30 to 523 of the family's 1533-position model. The record is from RNAcentral.